Non-coding RNA from Myotis brandtii (Brandt's bat), 126 nucleotides. The record is from Rfam. NCBI's taxonomy places the organism in Eukaryota, Metazoa, Chordata, Mammalia, Chiroptera, Vespertilionidae.
CUUGCACCAGUGGGGUCCCUCGGCCUGGCCUGUGGGAUCGGGCUGAAACCAGCUCUCCAACAUCCCCUGAAGGGUCAUGGAUUGCUAGAGGGCGCAGGCCAGGCCGAGGGACCCCACCGGUGCACG